Paramuricea clavata is the source of this 266-nucleotide non-coding RNA. The record is from the annotation of a GenBank genome assembly. NCBI's taxonomy places the organism in Eukaryota, Metazoa, Cnidaria, Anthozoa, Malacalcyonacea, Plexauridae.
UUCGUCCCCAUUUUGCUUUUCGUAGUGGAUUCAAAGCUGACCUCUCCCCAUCAUGAAACAAGUCCGAAAUCGGUGGAUGAAAUCUAUUUGUCAAUGCCCCCAAGAGUCAAUUCGAAGAGUAACCACCAUGCCCCCCCCCCCUCCCCUCACUGGGCCCACUUGGUGGCCAUGCCCCAGGUGAGGUCAUGCACAAUUAGGAACAAAGUCGAGCUGGUAUGAGACCGCGUAGCUUGCAAGUUAAUUGUGACGGGACCGGGCCACUGGGG